GACGAACGCUGGCGGCGUGCUUAACACAUGCAAGUCGAACGAGAAUCUACUGAAAGAGUUUUCGGACAAUGGAUGUAGAGGAAAGUGGCGGACGGGUGAGUAACGCGUGAGGAACCUGCCUUGAAGAGGGGGACAACAGUUGGAAACGACUGCUAAUACCGCAUGACGCAUAGAGGUCGCAUGAUCUUUAUGCCAAAGAUUUAUCGCUUCAAGAUGGCCUCGCGUCUGAUUAGCUAGUUGGCGGGGUAACGGCCCACCAAGGCGACGAUCAGUAGCCGGACUGAGAGGUUGAACGGCCACAUUGGGACUGAGAUACGGCCCAGACUCCUACGGGAGGCAGCAGUGGGGAAUAUUGGGCAAUGGGCGCAAGCCUGACCCAGCAACGCCGCGUGAAGGAAGAAGGCUUUCGGGUUGUAAACUUCUUUUAAGAGGGAAGAGUAGAAGACG
Molecule: ribosomal RNA, 447 nt
Filed under: uncultured bacterium
Lineage: Bacteria
Description: bacterial SSU rRNA
Rfam family: Bacterial small subunit ribosomal RNA
Source: RNAcentral